RNAcentral lists this long non-coding RNA (525 nucleotides) under Carica papaya (papaya). RNAcentral's name for it is "long non-coding RNA (CPAP_LNC003984)". Lineage: Eukaryota; Viridiplantae; Streptophyta; Magnoliopsida; Brassicales; Caricaceae. The record is from RNAcentral.
CAUUUCACAAUGAAUGAUUGAGUGAUAAUUUAUUUUUUGGUGUUUCCUUAAGUUUUUGUGUAAUGAAUGUUUCGAGAAACGCGACUUUGAUACCAACUGUAAAGGUCUGGAACUUAAAAGAAAAUAAAAUUAUAAAUUAAAUGCGAAAAAUAAAAUAAUAAAGUUAGGAUUUACAUUCCUUACACAAUAAUUUAGAAUACUUAAUAAGGUUAUGAGAAUGUCCAUUCUAAAAGAACAAACGAAAAUCAAAGAAUUAAACGACAAGUAAAUAACUGAGUAUCCUAUGACGACAUUCACUAGCUUUUGAAGAAGUCCGGGUGGUGAACUAUUUACAACCAUCUUGUUGCUUGGGAUAUAGAUCUUGGUUCUCUUGAUCUGAAAUAGUUAAUGAAAAUGUGACCUAGACUAAUCCAGUAAGAAUAUCAUACUACUCAUCAAUACAUAAAUUGAAGAUCGGUAAAAAUCAUAAAAAUAACUAGUGAAGCUCUUAAUUUAAGUAAAAUCAUUUAUUGCAUAGUUACUGUU